This 253-nucleotide ribosomal RNA is filed under the name uncultured bacterium. Its description in RNAcentral is "partial 16S ribosomal RNA". It matches the Rfam family "Bacterial small subunit ribosomal RNA", at positions 524 to 776 of the family's 1533-position model. The record is from RNAcentral.
UACGAAGGGGGCUAGCGUUGCUCGGAAUGACUGGGCGUAAAGAGCUCGUAGGCGGUUUGUCGCGUCUGCUGUGAAAACCCGAGGCUCAACCUCGGGCCUGCAGUGGGUACGGGCAGACUAGAGUGCGGUAGGGGAGAUUGGAAUUCCUGGUGUAGCGGUGGAAUGCGCAGAUAUCAGGAGGAACACCAAUGGCGAAGGCAGAUCUCUGGGCCGUAACUGACGCUGAGGAGCGAAAGCAUGGGGAGCGAACAGG